GGUCAAGCUACUAAGGGCGUACGGUGGAUGCCUAGGCGCUAAGAGUCGAAGAAGGGCGCGGUUAACAGCGAAAUGCCACGGGGAGUCGUAAGCAGGUUAUGAUCCGUGGAUACCCGAAUGGGGCAACCCAACCGGAGUCAUGUCCGGUUAUCUUUAACUGAAUAAAUAGGUUAAAGAAGGCAACCCGGGGAACUGAAACAUCUAAGUACCCGGAGGAAGAGAAAGAAUAAUCGAUUCCCUGAGUAGCGGCGAGCGAAACGGGAAGAGCCCAAACCCAUCCAGAGGCCAGAGGUCAGAAGCCUGAAGCCAGAAUGAAUGACGGUUUGUAAGGAAUUUAAGCGAUGUAUAAAGACUUAAGUACCUGAAAAACUAACAUGCAUCUGACAUCUGGCAUCCGAUUUCCGGCCUCUGGGUGGGGGUUGUAGGACCCUCUAUUAAGUUAAGAUCUCUAGCUGAACAGAACUGGAAAGUUCGGGCGGAGAAGGUAACACCCCUGUAAACGAAAGGGAGCUUAACUGUGAGGGGAUCCUGAGUACCGCGGGACACGAGAAACCCCGUGGGAAGCAGGGAGGACCACCUCCCAAGGCUAAAUACUACUUAGCGACCGAUAGCGAACAAGUACCGUGAGGGAAAGGUGAAAAGCACCUCGGAAGNNNNNNNNNNNNNNNNNNNNNNNNNNNNNNNNNNNNNNNNNNNNNNNNNGCGUGAUGGCGUGCCUUUUGUAGAAUGAACCGGCGAGUUAUGGUAUGUAGCGAGGUUAAGGCGGGAAGCCGGAGCCGAAGCGAAAGCGAGUCUGAAAAGGGCGGAUAGUUACAUGCUGUAGACCCGAAACCGUGUGAUCUACCCAUGGCCAGGGUGAAGGUGGGGUAAAACCCACUGGAGGCCCGAACUCACUGUCGUUGAAAAGGCAGGGGAUGAGCUGUGGGUAGGGGUGAAAUGCCAAUCGAACACGGAGAUAGCUGGUUCUCCCCGAAAUAGCUUUAGGGCUAGCCUCAAUAGAUGACUAAUGGCGGUAGAGCACUGAAUAGGCUAGGGGCCUUACCAGGUUACCGAACCUUAUCAAACUCCGAAUGCCAUUAGAUUAAGAUUGGGAGUCAGACUGUGGGGGAUAAGCUUCAUAGUCGAAAGGGAAACAGCCCAGACCAUCAGCUAAGGUCCCAAAGAUACACUAAGUGGGAAAGGAUGUGGAAUUGCCCAGACAACCAGGAUGUUGGCUCAGAAGCAGCCACCAUUUAAAGAGUGCGUAAUAGCUCACUGGUCGAGUGGUUCUGCGCCGAAAAUGUAACGGGGCUCAAGUGUAACACCGAAGCUAUGGAUCCAGAGGUCAGAUGACAGAGGCCAGAAGUCAUUCCAGAAGCCAGAAAUCAGAAGCCAGAGAUCAGAACAAUAAUCUGACAUCCGGCAUCUGACCACUGAUAUCUGGAUUAAUGGCCCAAGGUUCAAAAGACGAAGUAAAGGUCUUACUGGAAAUGAGUAAAGACCUAGGUUAUAUCCAAGAAGAAGAGUAUAUAAAGUUGUAUGAAAGUUAUGAUGAACUUGGAAAACAGCUGUAUGCGCUUCAUGUAAAAUGGAAAUAAUCUGGCUUCCGGCUUCUGACAUCUGACCUCUGAGAUGGUAGGGGAGCGUUCUAUGAUCAGAGAAGUUCAACCGGAAGGUUGAGUGGAGAGAAUAGAAGUGAGAAUGCCGGUAUGAGUAUGCGAAAAGACAAGUGAGAAUCUUGUCCGCCGAAAAUCUAAGGAUUCCUGGGGAAGGCUCGUCCGCCCAGGGUAAGUCGGGACCUAAGCCGAGGCCGAAAGGCGUAGGUGAUGGAUAACUGGUUGAAAGUCCAGUACCACCUGGAAAUGUUUGAGCAAAGGGGCGACACAGAAGGAUAGUUUAAGCCAACCGUUGGUAGAGUUGGCCCAAGCGAGAAGGAUGUAGGGCAGGCAAAUCCGCCCUAUGGUAAGUCUGAGACGUGACGGGGAGCGAAAAAUAGUAGCGAAGUAAGCGACUCCAGGCUGUCAAGAAAAACCUCUAGUGAGUGACCAGGUGCCCGUACCGAAAACCGACACAGGUAGAUGGGGUGAGAAUCCUAAGGCGCGCGAGAAAACCCUCGUUAAGGAACUCGGCAAAAUAGCCCCGUAACUUCGGGAGAAGGGGCGCUCUUAAUGAAAGAAGAGCCGCAGAGAAAUGGUCCAGGCGACUGUUUAACAAAAACACAGGUCCCUGCCAAUCCGCAAGGAGAAGUAUAGGGGCUGACACCUGCCCGGUGCUGGAAGGUUAAGAGGAGAGGUUAGCUUGAAAGAGCGAAGCUUUGAAUUGAAGCCCCAGUAAACGGCGGCCGUAACUAUAACGGUCCUAAGGUAGCGAAAUUCCUUGUCAGGUAAGUUCUGACCCGCACGAAAGGUGUAACGAUCUGGACACUGUCUCAACGAGGGACUCGGCGAAAUUGUAAUACCCGUGAAGAUGCGGGUUACCUGCGACAGGACAGAAAGACCCCAUGGAGCUUUACUGCAGCUUGAGAUUGGAUUUUGGUAUAAAAUGUACAGGAUAGGUGGGAGACAGAGAAGCCAGGGCGCCAGCUUUGGUGGAGUCAGCGGUGGGAUACCACUCUUUUUGUACUGAAGUUCUAACUAGGUCCCCUGAAGCGGGGAUUAGGACAGUCUCAGGUGGGCAGUUUGACUGGGGCGGUCGCCUCCUAAAGAGUAACGGAGGCGCCCAAAGGUUCCCUCAGCGCGGUUGGAAAUCGCGCGCAGAGUGUAAAGGCAAAAGGGAGCUUGACUGCGAGACCAACAAGUCGAGCAGGGACGAAAGUCGGGCUUAGUGAUCCGGUGGUACCGAGUGGAAGGGCCAUCGCUCAACGGAUAAAAGCUACCCUGGGGAUAACAGGCUUAUCUCCCCCAAGAGUCCAUAUCGACGGGGAGGUUUGGCACCUCGAUGUCGGCUCAUCGCAUCCUGGGGCUGUAGUAGGUCCCAAGGGUUGGGCUGUUCGCCCAUUAAAGCGGUACGUGAGCUGGGUUCAGAACGUCGUGAGACAGUUCGGUCCCUAUCCGUCGCAGGCGGAGGAAAUUUGAGAGGAUCUGUCCCUAGUACGAGAGGACCGGGAUGGACGAAUCACUGGUGUACCAGUUGUCUCGCCAGAGGCACAGCUGGGUAGCUAUAUUCGGAGCGGAUAAGCGCUGAAAGCAUCUAAGCGCGAAACCGGCCUCAAGAUGAGAUUUCCCACGAGCGAAAGCUUGGUAAGACCCCUGAAAGAUUAACAGGUUGAUAGGCCAGGUGUGGAAGCGCCGUGAGGUGUGGAGCUGACUGGUACUAAUAGGUCGAGGGCUUGACCUA
Molecule: ribosomal RNA, 3315 nt
Organism: Desulfosporosinus sp. Tol-M
Lineage: Bacteria; Bacillati; Bacillota; Clostridia; Eubacteriales; Desulfitobacteriaceae
Rfam family: Bacterial large subunit ribosomal RNA
Source: Rfam